UGGCGGACGGGUGAGUAAUGUCCGGGAAACUGCCCGAUGGAGGGGGAUAACUACUGGAAACGGUAGCUAAUACCGCAUAACGUCGCAAGACCAAAGAGGGGGACCUUCGGGCCUCUUGCCAUCGGAUGUGCCCAGAUGGGAUUAGCUAGUAGGUGGGGUAACGGCUCACCUAGGCGACGAUCCCUAGCUGGUCUGAGAGGAUGACCAGCCACACUGGAACUGAGACACGGUCCAG
This 235-nucleotide ribosomal RNA is filed under the name uncultured bacterium. RNAcentral describes it as "partial 16S ribosomal RNA". It matches the Rfam family "Bacterial small subunit ribosomal RNA", at positions 96 to 334 of the family's 1533-position model. The record is from RNAcentral.